UCUCGGCAACGGAUAUCUCGGCUCUCGCAUCGAUGAAGAACGUAGCGAAAUGCGAUACCUGGUGUGAAUUGCAGAAUCCCGUGAACCAUCGAGUCUUUGAACGCAAGUUGCGCCCGAGGCCAUCCGGCCAAGGGCACGCCUGCCUGGGCAUCACG
Molecule: ribosomal RNA, 155 nt
Filed under: Musa balbisiana (Balbis banana)
Lineage: Eukaryota; Viridiplantae; Streptophyta; Magnoliopsida; Zingiberales; Musaceae
Description: 5.8S ribosomal RNA
Rfam family: 5.8S ribosomal RNA
About the family: 5.8S ribosomal RNA (5.8S rRNA) is a component of the large subunit of the eukaryotic ribosome.
Source: RNAcentral